UACAGAGGGUGCGAGCGUUGUCCGGAAUCACUGGGCGUAAAGGGCGCGUAGGCGGCUUGAUAAGCGUGCGGUGAAAGCCCGGGGCUCAACCCCGGGUCGGCCGUGCGAACUGUCGAGCUGGAGCACUGUAGAGGCAGGUGGAAUUCCGGGUGUAGCGGUGGAAUGCGUAGAGAUCCGGAAGAACACCGGUGGCGAAGGCGGCCUGCUGGGCAGUUGCUGACACUGAGGCGCGACAGCGUGGGGAGCAAACAGG
This 253-nucleotide ribosomal RNA is filed under the name uncultured bacterium. Its description in RNAcentral is "partial 16S ribosomal RNA". It matches the Rfam family "Bacterial small subunit ribosomal RNA", at positions 524 to 776 of the family's 1533-position model. The record is from RNAcentral.